This 497-nucleotide ribosomal RNA is filed under the name uncultured bacterium. Its description in RNAcentral is "partial 16S ribosomal RNA". It matches the Rfam family "Bacterial small subunit ribosomal RNA", at positions 28 to 507 of the family's 1533-position model. The record is from RNAcentral.
GAUGAACGCUGGCGGCGUGCCUAAUACAUGCAAGUCGAGCGAACAGACGAGGAGCUUGCUCCACUGACGUUAGCGGCGGACGGGUGAGUAACACGUGGAUAACCUACCUAUAAGACUGGGAUAACUUCGGGAAACCGGAGCUAAUACCGGAUAAUAUAGUGAACCGCAUGGUUCAAUAGUGAAAUACGGUUUUGCUGUCACUUAUAGAUGGAUCCGCGCCGCAUUAGCUAGUUGGUAAGGUAACGGCUUACCAAGGCAACGAUGCGUAGCCGACCUGAGAGGGUGAUCGGCCACACUGGAACUGAGACACGGUCCAGACUCCUACGGGAGGCAGCAGUAGGGAAUCUUCCGCAAUGGGCGAAAGCCUGACGGAGCAACGCCGCGUGAGUGAUGAAGGUCUUCGGAUCGUAAAACUCUGUUAUUAGGGAAGAACAAAUGUGUAAGUAACUAUGCACGUCUUGACGGUACCUAAUCAGAAAGCCACGGCUAACUACGUG